This 446-nucleotide ribosomal RNA is filed under the name uncultured bacterium. RNAcentral's name for it is "bacterial SSU rRNA". It matches the Rfam family "Bacterial small subunit ribosomal RNA", at positions 75 to 507 of the family's 1533-position model. The record is from RNAcentral.
UGAUUGAUAAGCAUUGAGUGAGUGGCGGACGGUGAGUAACACGUGGGUAACCUGCCCUAAAGUGGGGAUAACAUUGGAAACAGAUGCUAAUACCGCAUAAAACCUAGCACCGCAUGGUGCAGGGUUGAAAGAUGGGUUUCGGCUAUCACUUUAGGAUGGACCCGCGGUGCAUUAGUUAGUUGGUGAGGUAAAGGCUCACCAAGACCGUGAUGCAUAGCCGACCUGGAGAGGGUAAUCGGCCACACUGGGACUGUGACACGGCCCAGACUCCUACGGGAGGCAGCAGUAGGGAAUCUUCCACAAUGGACGAAAGUCUGAUGGAGCAACGCCGCGUGAGUGUAGAAGGUUUUCGGAUCGUAAAACUCUGUUGUUGGAGAAGAAUGUAUCUGAUAGUAACUGAUCAGGUAGUGACGGUAUCCAACCAGAAAGCCACGGCUAACUACGUG